AAUGAACGUUGGCGGCGUGGAUUAGGCAUGCAAGUCGUACGGGUCGGUGUAGCAAUACAACGGCAAGUGGCGAAAGGGAGAGUAACACGUAGGUACCUACCCUCUGGUCGGGGAUACCGCGGCAUAACCGCAAGUAAUACCCGAUAAAAUCUCCGGAGCAAAGGUGUGAUUCCGCCGGAGGAGGGGUCUGCGUUCUAUCAGCUUGUUGGUGAGGUAAUGGCUCACCAAGGCUAAGACGGAUACGGGGUGUGAGAGCAUGCCCCCGCUCACUGGGACUGAGACACUGCCCAGACACCUACGGGUGGCUGCAGUCGAGAAUCUUCGGCAAUGGGCGCAAGCCUGACCGAGCGACGCCGCGUGCGGGAUGAAGGCCUUCGGGUUGUAAACCGCUGUCGAGGGGAAUGAAGUGUAGGUGGGUACUCCCAUCUAUUUGACAGAUCCCUGGAGGAAGCAUGGGCUAAGUUCGUGCCAGCAGCCGCCGUAA
RNAcentral lists this ribosomal RNA (484 nucleotides) under uncultured bacterium. Its description in RNAcentral is "partial 16S ribosomal RNA". It matches the Rfam family "Bacterial small subunit ribosomal RNA", at positions 29 to 523 of the family's 1533-position model. The record is from RNAcentral.